GUUGCCGCGCUGAUGAUUACCACAGUGUCGGGCACACGGAGAACGCUCUUAAACAGCAAUUACUACCACUACUCUGACCGACCACCACGUGAAAGUAACUAGGGUAACUCAAGUGGCGCGCACAAGACCAACCAGGGACGGGAAAACGGAUUCGGUGGGGCUAAUCACGGCAGCCCGCUCCAGGACGCGGGCGAGAGCUCUGAACGCGCAAAAUUGCUUAUCUGCUUCAAGGCUGCUUUUUUAAAGCAAGGAUAACAUAACAGAACCUGUCUCGUGGAGCUGUUGUGAGGAGUAAAUGAAGUUCAGCAUUUAACAGAGCCCGGCACACAGGACACAUUCUUUCAAACUGUUACUAUAUUCACUGUCUGCUGAAUUUGCUGAGCCCAGGAACUGUCCCCAAAAUACACAAAUCAAGACACUGA
Molecule: long non-coding RNA, 422 nt
Organism: Leopardus geoffroyi (Geoffroy's cat)
Lineage: Eukaryota; Metazoa; Chordata; Mammalia; Carnivora; Felidae
Exons: 2
Source: RefSeq, a predicted model, not a curated record